GGUCGUGUGGUCUAGUGGUUAUGACAUCUGCUUUACAACUUGGCAACAGGAAACACUCGCAGAGGAUCGCAGGUUCGAUCCCUGCCACGAUCA
Molecule: non-coding RNA, 93 nt
Organism: Immersiella caudata
Lineage: Eukaryota; Fungi; Ascomycota; Sordariomycetes; Sordariales; Lasiosphaeriaceae
Source: the annotation of a GenBank genome assembly